CGGCAACAGCUCAAAUUUGAAAUCUGGCGCAAGCCCGAAUUGUAAUUUGCAGAGGAAUGUUCGGCGAAGGCUAGGUCUAAAUCUUCUGGAAGGAAGUGCCAUUGAGGGUGAGAGCCCCGUAUGACUGAAGCCUGAACCAUGUGUACAUCCUUCGAA
RNAcentral lists this ribosomal RNA (156 nucleotides) under Pezizomycotina sp. RNAcentral's name for it is "partial large subunit ribosomal RNA". It matches the Rfam family "Eukaryotic large subunit ribosomal RNA", at positions 99 to 261 of the family's 3401-position model. Lineage: Eukaryota; Fungi; Ascomycota. The record is from RNAcentral.